UGAUGAUAUUUCUUAUUUAAAUAACGUGUGUUUCGUAUGAUGCAGUUCUUCCCUGGUCAAAAUUCAAUUAUGACGUCAAAUUAUUGAAUUUUCUAUUGUAACGUAACGAAAAAGGCAACACUGUACCUGAUGAAGUACCACACAAGGUACACAUCCUUUAGCAGGUCAUUGGAAACAGCAAAACAAAGUACCGAACUCCAAGGCAAACUUAAAAAGGGAAAGUACCGAACUCCAAGGCAAA
Molecule: long non-coding RNA, 241 nt
Filed under: Mytilus galloprovincialis (Mediterranean mussel)
Lineage: Eukaryota; Metazoa; Mollusca; Bivalvia; Mytilida; Mytilidae
Source: RNAcentral